UAAUUAGCCGGAAGUAUACGAUUUCUACGAAUCAUGAUUGACAGUUGCAAAAUUGAAAGUUGCCGCUAUUAAUGCAACAUCAACAACAAGGCAACAAGUUGUGGAGACUCCAAGGUUACUUACCGGUUGGAUGACAAAGGCUGAAGAAUGCUUUUCAGGAUCUGGCUGCAUGCCGGUAAUGUUCUCCACUAGGCCAACAUCGCCAUUCAUGAAAUGUGGAAAGCUUAGAGAGAUGGGGAAACCAUAAUAACAGUCCGUGACGUCAAUCAGGCCGACCGGCUGGCAAUCGCCUGCACGCAGAACAAGAAGAAGAAGAAGAAAUUUGUUGUUUUGCAGC
Drosophila virilis is the source of this 337-nucleotide long non-coding RNA. RefSeq lists it as uncharacterized. NCBI's taxonomy places the organism in Eukaryota, Metazoa, Arthropoda, Insecta, Diptera, Drosophilidae. The record is from RefSeq and is a predicted model, not a curated record.